Molecule: ribosomal RNA, 492 nt
Filed under: uncultured bacterium
Lineage: Bacteria
Description: partial 16S ribosomal RNA
Rfam family: Bacterial small subunit ribosomal RNA
Source: RNAcentral
AGUGAACGCUGGCGGUAGGCCUAACACAUGCAAGUCGAACGGCAGCACAGUAAGAGCUUGCCCUUACGGGUGGUGAGUGGCGGACGGGUGAGGAAUACAUCGGAAUCUACUUUUUCGUGGGGGAUAACGUAGGGAAACUUACGCUAAUACCGCAUACGACCUACGGGUGAAAGCAGGGGAUCUUCGGACCUUGCGCGAUUGAAUGAGCCGAUGUCGGAUUAGCUAGUUGGCGGGGUAAAGGCCCACCAAGGCGACGAUCCGUAGCUGGUCUGAGAGGAUGAUCAGCCACACUGGAACUGAGACACGGUCCAGACUCCUACGGGAGGCAGCAGUGGGGAAUAUUGGACAAUGGGCGCAAGCCUGAUCCAGCCAUACCGCGUGGGUGAAGAAGGCCUUCGGGUUGUAAAGCCCUUUUGUUGGGAAAGAAAAGCAGCAGGUUAAUACCCCGCUGUUCUGACGGUACCCAAAGAAUAAGCACCGGCUAACUUCGUG